Non-coding RNA from Corallococcus sp. CAG:1435, 73 nucleotides. Lineage: Bacteria; Pseudomonadati; Myxococcota; Myxococcia; Myxococcales; Myxococcaceae. The record is from Rfam.
GCUGGAGUGGCUCAGUCGGUAGAGCAAUUGAUUCGUAAUCAAUAGGUCGAGUGUUCGAUUCACUUCUCCAGCA